This 896-nucleotide ribosomal RNA is filed under the name Campylobacter concisus. Its description in RNAcentral is "bacterial SSU rRNA". It matches the Rfam family "Bacterial small subunit ribosomal RNA", at positions 157 to 1069 of the family's 1533-position model. The record is from RNAcentral. Lineage: Bacteria; Pseudomonadati; Campylobacterota; Epsilonproteobacteria; Campylobacterales; Campylobacteraceae.
CGGCUGCUAAUACUCUAUACUCCUGUCUUACAUAAGUUAGAUAGGGAAAGUUUUUCGGUGUAGGAUGAGGCUAUAUUGUAUCAGCUAGUUGGUGAGGUAAUGGCUCACCAAGGCUAUGACGCAUAACUGGUCUGAGAGGAUGAUCAGUCACACUGGAACUGAGACACGGUCCAGACUCCUACGGGAGGCAGCAGUAGGGAAUAUUGCUCAAUGGGGGAAACCCUGAAGCAGCAACGCCGCGUGGAGGAUGACACUUUUCGGAGCGUAAACUCCUUUUGUUAGGGAAGAACAAUGACGGUACCUAACGAAUAAGCACCGGCUAACUCCGUGCCAGCAGCCGCGGUAAUACGGAGGGUGCAAGCGUUACUCGGAAUCACUGGGCGUAAAGGACGCGUAGGCGGAUUAUCAAGUCUCUUGUGAAAUCCUAUGGCUUAACCAUAGAACUGCUUGGGAAACUGGUAAUCUAGAGUGAGGGAGAGGCAGAUGGAAUUGGUGGUGUAGGGGUAAAAUCCGUAGAGAUCACCAGGAAUACCCAUUGCGAAGGCGAUCUGCUGGAACUCAACUGACGCUAAUGCGUGAAAGCGUGGGGAGCAAACAGGAUUAGAUACCCUGGUAGUCCACGCCCUAAACGAUGUAUACUAGUUGUUGCUAAGCUAGUCUUGGCAGUAAUGCACCUAACGGAUUAAGUAUACCGCCUGGGGAGUACGGUCGCAAGAUUAAAACUCAAAGGAAUAGACGGGGACCCGCACAAGCGGUGGAGCAUGUGGUUUAAUUCGAAGAUACGCGAAGAACCUUACCCGGACUUGAUAUCUAACAAAUCAUCUAGAGAUAGAAGAGUGUCUGCUUGCAGAAAUGUUAAGACAGGUGCUGCACGGCUGUCGUCAGCUCGUGUCGUG